This is a long non-coding RNA of Triticum dicoccoides, 876 nucleotides long. RefSeq lists it as uncharacterized. The record is from RefSeq and is a predicted model, not a curated record. The transcript has 3 exons. Lineage: Eukaryota; Viridiplantae; Streptophyta; Magnoliopsida; Poales; Poaceae.
CAAACCCUUACCACGGUGGUUCUCGAAACCAGCCGCCGCCGCGGGCAACUAUCCCCCACCCCCACUGCUGUGGAUGGCUGCGCUGGCUCCGGCUAACCGACGAUGGAAGAUCCUGCUGGACUCUGUCGACAUGUUCCCACUACGAUGCGGACAGUUUGGACCACCCGGAUCCGGUUCCUCUGGUGGAUCUCCAGCGGAUUGCCGACACGAGCGCUGACCCGGUUCCUGGUGCGGCGAGCGUGUUGGCGGCGCAAGUCAGGGCAGGUAGGAAGGCGCCGGGUGCCGCCGGUGGAAGGCUUCUCCGAGGCAGGGCAGGUAGGAAGGUGAAUCCAGAGGCGCCUGGAUGGACAAACAGAUUGGAGAAGCAGGAGAAGAAACGAAGGCAGAAGGGGAUAAAUUGUCCAAAUUAGCACUGAAGCUGCAGCAGGACAAAUUAGCCCAAGUUCUCUCUUGUGGGUUUAAUUAUGAAUGGUACUAUUUACACUAGCAUGCUUAGUUAUGAAUGCUAUGUGAUCUAGACAUAUCACAAUUAAAGAUUUUCCUCUUAUUUUGCCAAGCUAACAACUGUGUGGUGUUGCACCAUCUUUUGUGUCCAGGUUGUUUGUUCUAGUUGGUAGAUUAUAAACUUUGUUGGAUUUUGCCUUAAGUAUUUGAUUCAUGGUACAGCCAGUCAGCUAGUUGUCUUUUUAGUUCUCCAGAUCUUAUGAUGCCUAAUUAUCUAAAGCCUAAUUUUUGUUCUGUUUUGCUUGGAAAAGCGAUGCCACAUAUUCACAGUUGCGGUGAUGCAGGUUUGCUUGUCCAGUGUACUUCAUGGUACAUGUACCUGGGUGUUUAGCCCAAGUUCCAAUACAUCUUGUGUAUAUCUUUUGAUCUAUC